RNAcentral lists this ribosomal RNA (468 nucleotides) under uncultured bacterium. RNAcentral describes it as "partial 16S ribosomal RNA". It matches the Rfam family "Bacterial small subunit ribosomal RNA", at positions 28 to 507 of the family's 1533-position model. The record is from RNAcentral.
GACGAACGCUGGCGGCGUGCUUAACACAUGCAAGUCGAACGGAAAGGCCCUGCUUUUGUGGGGUGCUCGAGUGGCGAAAGGGUGAGUAACACGUGAGUAACCUGCCCUUGACUUUGGGAUAACUUCAGGAAACUGGGGCUAAUACCGGAUAGGAGCUCCUGCUGCAUGGUGGGGGUUGGAAAGUUUCGGCGGUUGGGGAUGGACUCGCGGCUUAUCAGCUUGUUGGUGGGGUAGUGGCUUACCAAGGCUUUGACGGGUAGCCGGCCUGAGAGGGUGACCGGCCACAGUGGGACUGAGAUACGGCCCAGACUCCUACGGGAGGCAGCAGUGGGGAAUAUUGCACAAUGGGCGGAAGCCUGAUGCAGCAACGCCGCGUGCGGGAUGACGGCCUUCGGGUUGUAAACCGCUUUCGCCUGUGACGAAGCGUGAGUGACGGUAAUGGGUAAAGAAGCACCGGCUAACUACGUG